GACGAACGCUGGCGGCGUGCCUAAUACAUGCAAGUCGGGCGAAGUUUUUCUGGUGCUUGCACUAGAAAAACUUAGCGGCGAACGGGUGGGUAACACGUAAAGAACCUGCCUCAUAGACUGGGACAACUAUUGGAAACGAUAGCUAAUACCGGAUAACAGUAUUUCUCGCAUGAGAGAUAUUUAAAAGUUGGUUAUGCUAACACUAUGAGAUGGCUUUGCGGUGCAUUAGCUAGUUGGUGGGGUAAAGGCCCACCAAGGCGACGAUGCAUAGCCGACCUGAGAGGGUGAUCGGCCACACUGGGACUGAGACACGGCCCAGACUCCUACGGGAGGCAGCAGUAGGGAAUCUUCCGCAAUGGGCGAAAGCCUGACGGAGCAACGCCGCGUGAGUGAAGAAGGAUUUCGGUUCGUAAAGCUCUGUUGUUAGGGAAGAAUGGAUAUGUAGUAACUAUACAUGUAAGAGACGGUACCUAACCAGAAAGCCACGGCUAACUACGUG
RNAcentral lists this ribosomal RNA (499 nucleotides) under uncultured bacterium. Its description in RNAcentral is "partial 16S ribosomal RNA". It matches the Rfam family "Bacterial small subunit ribosomal RNA", at positions 28 to 507 of the family's 1533-position model. The record is from RNAcentral.